CUACGGGGGGCAGCAGUGAGGAAUAUUGCACAAUGGAGGAAACUCUGAUGCAGCAACGCCGCGUGGAGGAUGACGCAUUUCGGUGUGUAAACUCCUUUUAUAUGUCAAGAAAAUGACGGUAGCAUAUGAAUAAGCGCCGGCUAACUCCGUGCCAGCAGCCGCGGUAAUACGGAGGGCGCAAGCGUUACUCGGAAUCACUGGGCGUAAAGGACGCGUAGGCGGGAUAUCAAGUCAGGUGUGAAAUCCUACAGCUUAACUGUAGAACUGCACUUGAAACUGGUAACCUAGAGUAUGGGAGGGGGAGAUGGAAUUAGUGGUGUAGGGGUAAAAUCCGUGGAUAUCACUAGGAAUACCUAAAGCGAAGGCGAUCUCCUGGAACAUAACUGACGCUAAGGCGUGAAAGCGUGGGGAGCAAACAGGAUUAGAUACCCCGGUAGUC
This 439-nucleotide ribosomal RNA is filed under the name uncultured bacterium. RNAcentral describes it as "partial 16S ribosomal RNA". It matches the Rfam family "Bacterial small subunit ribosomal RNA", at positions 339 to 795 of the family's 1533-position model. The record is from RNAcentral.